GCUGCUGGGUCUGGCGGUUUGGGCCUGCUGGCUAGCGGGCUGGCCUGCUGCUUGGGCUUCUGUGGCCUGCUUCUUUUUUUUUUUUUCUAUAAUGGCCUGCUUUUUUCCUUUUAUUUUUAUUUUUUCUUUCUCUUUUCUUCUUUUCUUCUUCUUUAAAACCCUAGCCAGCGCUCAUUUCUACCCUUUCGCCCACUGCCGCCGUCGACUGCUCUGUUUGGUGGCGCGGUGGUCCCGGCGUUCUUCCCUCCUCCUUUCUCUUCCCCUUUUUUUCUUCUCCCUUUUGUUUUCUCUCUUUUCUUCUCUUCUCCCCUUUCCUUUUCUUUUCUUUCUCUUUUGAAAGCUCGAAAGCUAGAGGCGACACCGCCCCUUCCAAUCUGCCAUUUGUCGCUCAAUCUUCCUCCGCCUUAGGUGGCCGUGGUGGUGGUACGGCAGUUACGGUGGUCGUAGGCAUGGUGGCGGUGGCAGCAGAGGAGGGGAAGUAAGGCCGAUUGGGGGUGUCAGGCGGUGUACGCAAGAACGCAGAUUGGGGGCGGCUUGUCAUGCCCAGAAGGACCAAAAUGUAACGGGUGCAAAGUUUCUGGGGAAACAUGCAAUUUUAGGAAAAUAUGGGGCCAAAUGUAAUUUUUAGAAGGUUUAGGGGUCAAAGUGCUAUUUUAAGAAAGUUUAAGGGUUGAAAUGUAAUUUUAAAAAAGUUUGGGGUCAAAAUGUAAAUUUCAAAAGUACAGGGUUAAAAUGUA
Long non-coding RNA from Gossypium raimondii (Peruvian cotton), 737 nucleotides. RefSeq lists it as uncharacterized. Lineage: Eukaryota; Viridiplantae; Streptophyta; Magnoliopsida; Malvales; Malvaceae. The record is from RefSeq and is a predicted model, not a curated record. The transcript is spliced from 3 exons.